UUCACCUACGGGGGGCAGCAGUGGGGGAUAUUGGACAAUGGGGGGAACCCUGAUCCAGCGACGCCGCGUGAGUGAAGAAGUAUCUCGGUAUGUAAAGCUCUAUCAGCAGGGAAGAAGAAAUGACGGUACCUGAGUAAGAAGCCCCGGCUAACUACGUGCCAGCAGCCGCGGUAAUACGUAGGGGGCAAGCGUUAUCCGGAAUUACUGGGUGUAAAGGGAGCGCAGACGGCAGUGCAAGUCUGGAGUGAAAGCCCGGGGCCCAACCCCGGAACUGCUCUGGAAACUGUGCGGCUAGAGUACUGGAG
This 305-nucleotide ribosomal RNA is filed under the name uncultured bacterium. RNAcentral's name for it is "bacterial SSU rRNA". It matches the Rfam family "Bacterial small subunit ribosomal RNA", at positions 334 to 654 of the family's 1533-position model. The record is from RNAcentral.